AUCAGCAUGCCGCGGUGAAUACGUUCCCGGGCCUUGUACACACCGCCCGUCACACCAUGGGAGCCGGUAAUACCCGAAGUCAGUAGUCCAACCUCGUGAGGACGCUGCCGAAGGUAGGAUUGGCGACUGGGGUGAAGUCGUAACAAGGUAUC
Molecule: ribosomal RNA, 152 nt
Filed under: uncultured bacterium
Lineage: Bacteria
Description: partial 16S ribosomal RNA
Rfam family: Bacterial small subunit ribosomal RNA
Source: RNAcentral